UUGGAGGGCAAGUCUGGUGCCAGCAGCCGCGGUAAUUCCAGCUCCAAUAGCGUAUAUUAACGUUGUUGUGGUUAAAAAGCUCGUAGUAGAAGCUCGGGCUCCGGCCGACCGGUCCGCCUCACCGCGUGCACUGGUUCGGCCGGGCCUUCACCUUCUGCGGAACCGCAUCUCCUUCACUGGGAGUGUCGGGGAAACAGGACGUUUACUGUGAAAAAAUUAGAGUGCUCCAGGCAGGCCUAUGCUCGAAUAGAUUAGCAUGGAAUAAUGGAAUAGGACGUGUGGUCUUAUUUCGUUGGUUUCUAGGACCGCCGUAAUGAUUAAUAGGGACAGUCGGGGGCAUCAGUAUUCAAUCGUCAGAGGUGAAAUUCUUGGAUCGAUUGAAGACUAACUACUGCGAAAGCAUUUGCCAAGGAUGUUUUCAUUUAUCAGGAACGAAAGUUAGGGGAUCGAAGACGAUCAGAUACCGUCGUAGUCUUAACCAUAAACUAUGCCGACUAGGGAUCGGACGGUGUUAUUUCUUGACCCGUUCGGCGCCUUACGGGAAAC
This 546-nucleotide ribosomal RNA is filed under the name uncultured Ascomycota. RNAcentral describes it as "SSU rRNA". It matches the Rfam family "Eukaryotic small subunit ribosomal RNA", at positions 548 to 1098 of the family's 1831-position model. The record is from RNAcentral. Lineage: Eukaryota; Fungi; Ascomycota.